UGGGGAAUAUUGGACAAUGGGUGAGAGCCUGAUCCAGCCAUCCCGCGUGAAGGAUGACGGUCCUAUGGAUUGUAAACUUCUUUUGUACAGGGAUAAACCUACUCUCGUGAGGGUAGCUGAAGGUACUGUACGAAUAAGCACCGGCUAACUCCGUGCCAGCAGCCGCGGUAAUACGGAGGGUGCAAGCGUUAUCCGGAUUUAUUGGGUUUAAAGGGUCCGUAGGCGGACUUGUAAGUCAGUGGUGAAAUCUCAUAGCUUAACUAUGAAACUGCCAUUGAUACUGCAGGUCUUGAGUAAAUUUGAAGUGGCUGGAAUAAGUAGUGUAGCGGUGAAAUGCAUAGAUAUUACUUAGAACACCAAUUGCGAAGGCAGGUCACUAAGAUUUAACUGACGCUGAUGGACGAAAGCGUGGGGAGCGAACA
This 422-nucleotide ribosomal RNA is filed under the name uncultured bacterium. RNAcentral's name for it is "partial 16S ribosomal RNA". It matches the Rfam family "Bacterial small subunit ribosomal RNA", at positions 355 to 774 of the family's 1533-position model. The record is from RNAcentral.